Long non-coding RNA from Ooceraea biroi (clonal raider ant), 581 nucleotides. RefSeq lists it as uncharacterized. Lineage: Eukaryota; Metazoa; Arthropoda; Insecta; Hymenoptera; Formicidae. The record is from RefSeq and is a predicted model, not a curated record.
UUGGGGACCUCCCUACCUGCAUGCAAAAAAUUUUUGAAAUCCGAGUGUAACACCUAAAAACCUUCCCUUGUGAGAUCAAGGGAGUAAGGACUUAAUUGAUGAAUAAUUUAUUUCUUCUGAAAUAGAGUAUAUAGGACCGUUCUAACUCCGUUGGCUUCGAGGAGACUGACGUCACGCGGGAAGGGAGAGGUGACAUCUUGGAUCGUGCAUUUUCGCUGACCUGGCCCGCGGGAGAGAGGGAUCGCAGCGUGUUAUGGGCAAGACCGCUAGAUCCCCGAAUCGUUUCACGGUGCGAUGAGCUAGUGGAAACUGAAAGAAUCGUGCUCAAAAUAAUAAAUGCGACAGCUAAACGCGUGGCGUGUAGAUGGAAACCAAACGUGGAUACUAAAUCGCGUCUUUGACUGCUGUGAGACAGAGAAAGUGAGAGAAAAAGAGGAAGGAACUUUUAAGCCAUGCGGGUGCAGCGACGCGGUGGGGAAAUUCUAAUACAAUCCGAUGUGUUGUCCCAAUAUGGUGAUGUAAACUCAUAUUGGCCGCUCAAAAUUCGUUCAAACAGCUCUUGUUGCUCGUUCUCCGGCGAU